This 390-nucleotide ribosomal RNA is filed under the name uncultured archaeon. RNAcentral describes it as "bacterial SSU rRNA". It matches the Rfam family "Archaeal small subunit ribosomal RNA", at positions 355 to 747 of the family's 1478-position model. The record is from RNAcentral.
AUGUGGGAAACCACGAUGCGGGAAACCCAAGUGCCAGCACUAUGUGUUGGCUGUCCUCAAGUGUUCGUAACUUGGGAAGAAAGUGCUGGGUAAGACGGGUGCCAGCCGCCGCGGUAAUACCCGCAGCACAAGUGGUGGUCAUUAUUAUUGGGCCUAAAGCGUCCGUAGCUGGCGUGUUAGAUGCCUGGGUAAAUCGAAGCGCUCAACGCUUCGAAUUCCGGGUAGACCGGCACGCUCGAGACCGGGAGAGGCAUGGGGUACUCGGGGGGUAGGGGUAAAAUCCUGUAAUCCUCCGGGGACGACCAGUGGCGAAGGCGCCAUGCUAGAACGGCUCUGACAGUGAGGGACGAAGCCCUGGGGCGCAAACCGGAUUAGAUACCCGUGUAGUCC